Molecule: ribosomal RNA, 269 nt
Filed under: Agrocybe praecox
Lineage: Eukaryota; Fungi; Basidiomycota; Agaricomycetes; Agaricales; Agrocybaceae
Description: partial small subunit ribosomal RNA
Source: RNAcentral
UUAGUCGGUCUCGGAGCAAACGAAGUGAAGCAUGUCAUUUAAUACGAAAGUACGCGUAAAAUCUUACCAGUUCUUGCAUAAACCAAUCGCUCUAUAUUUGAUAUUUAAGAGGCUAUUAUUAUAUUCUCUUAAAUAUUUAUUGUAGACCAGAUUGCAUAGUUUCUUACAUUACUUAUUUUAUUUACCUUUUUAAGUACUUAAAAAUUUAAAAAGGCAAAACAAAAUUAAAAAAAAGAAACUUGUUUACAGGUGUUGCAUGGCUGUCGUCA